GGGAGGGAAAUUAGGGAUUUGGACUCUUGAGAAAUUAUGGCAAUUAAAAAGAAAAAAUAAAAGAAAUAAAAAUAAUGUCUGCCCUUUUAAAAGAAAGAGCCCCAUUAAUGAUAAAUCAUUCCCAAGCUUUGAAAAUAAUAUCUAUUCCCUUAGCACACGCUACCUAAACUCAGCAACUGCCAUUUCCAUUCAACUUCUAAGAAAAGCUCAGCUAGGGCAAAGAAACCUGCCUCAAAAGUCCUACAACAUGUCUCAAC
RNAcentral lists this long non-coding RNA (257 nucleotides) under Lathyrus oleraceus (garden pea). RNAcentral describes it as "Pisum sativum (pea) long non-coding RNA (PSAT_LNC004831)". The record is from RNAcentral. Lineage: Eukaryota; Viridiplantae; Streptophyta; Magnoliopsida; Fabales; Fabaceae.